Non-coding RNA from Oncorhynchus mykiss (rainbow trout), 8366 nucleotides. NCBI's taxonomy places the organism in Eukaryota, Metazoa, Chordata, Actinopteri, Salmoniformes, Salmonidae. The record is from RefSeq and is a predicted model, not a curated record.
GCAAGGAGAAGACUCUACACAAGGACAGGACUCGACAGGUAGGUAAUCGACACAAGAAGACUCUUCACAACGACAGGACUCGACAUAAGGAGAGGACUUGACAGGUAGGUAAUCGACACAAGAAGACUCGUCACAAGGAGGACUCGACAGGUAGGUAAUUGACACAAGGAAAAGACUACACAAGGAGAUGACUCAAUGCAAGUAGAAGACUCUUCGCAAGGACAGGACUUGACACAAGGAGAAGACUCGUCGCAAGGACAGGACUCGUCACAAGGAGAGGAUUCGACCGGUAGGUAAUUGACACAUGGAGAAGACUCGUCGCAAGGACAGGAAUCGACACAAGGAGAGGACUCGACACGAGAGGACUCGACAGGUAGGUAAUUGACACAAGGAGAAGAGUCAUCGGAAGGACUCGUCACAAGGAAGACUCGACACAAGGAGAGGACUUGACAGGUAGGUAAUCGACACAAGUAGAAGAAUUGUCGCAAGGACAGGAAACGACACGAGAGGACUCGACAGGUAGGUAAUCGACACAAGAAGACUCGUCACAAGGACAGGAAUCGACACAAGGAGAGGACUCGACAGGUAGGUAAUCGACACAAGGAGAUGACUCGACGCGAGUGGACUCGAAAGGUAGGUAAUUCACACAAGACUUGUCGCAAGGAGAGGACUUUACGCAAGGAGAAGACUCUCCGCAAGGAGAAGACUCUAGGCAAGGAGAAGACUCUACACAAGGACAGGACUCGACAGGUAGGUAAUCGACACAAGAAGACUCUUCACAACGACAGGACUCGACAUAAGGAGAGGACUCGACAGGUAGGUAAUCGACACAAGUAGAAGACUCUUCACAAGGAGAGGACUCGUCACAAGGAGGACUCGACAGGUAGGUAAUUGACACAUGGAGAAGACUACGCACGGAGAAGACUACGCACGGAGAAGACUCUACGCAAGGAGAAGACUACGCAAGGAGAAGACUCUACGCAAGGAGAAGACUUGACAGGUAGGUAAUCGACACAAGAAGAAGAAUCGUCGCAAGGACAGGACUCGUCACAAGGAGAGAACUCGACAGGUAGGUAAUAGACACAAGGAGAAGACUCGACGCAAGGAGAAGACUCUACGCAAGGAGAAGACUCGUCGCAAGCACAGGCCUCAAAAGAUAGGUAAUCGACACAAGGAGAAGACUUGUCGCAAGGAGAAGACUCUACACGGAGAGAACUCGACACGAGAGGACUCGACAGGUAGGUAAUUGACACAAGGAGAAGAGUCAUCGGAAGGACUCGUCACAAGGAAGACUCGACACAAGGAGAAGACUUGACAGGUAGGUAAUCGACACAAGUAGAAGAAUUGUCGCAAGGACAGGAAACGACACGAGAGGACUCGACAGGUAGGUAAUCGACAUAAGGAGAAGACUCUCCGCAAGGAGAAGACUCUACGCAAGGACAGGAAUCGACACUAGGAGGGGACUUGUCGCAAGGAGAAGACUCUACACGGAGAGAACUUGACACGAGAGGACUCCAAAGGUAGGUAAUCAACAAGUAGAAGACUCGUCGCAAGAACAGGACUCGUCACAAGGAGGACUCGACAGGUAGGUAAUUGACACAUGGAGAAGACUCUACACAAGGAGAAGCCUACUCAAGGAGAAGCGUCGUCGCAAGGACAGGACUUGUCGCAAGAGAUGACUCGACAGGUAGGUAAUCGACACAAGGAGAAGACUCUACACAAGGAGAAGACUCUACACAAGGAGAAGACUACACAAGGACAGGACUCGUCAAAAGGAGAGGACUCCACAGUUAGGUUAUCGACACAAGGAGAAGACUCUACACAGUAGAGGACUUGACAUGAGAGGACUCGAGAGGUAGGUAAUCGACUCAAGGAGAAGACUCUUCACAAGGACAGGACUUGACACAAGGAGAAGACUUGACACAAGGAGAAGACUCGACACAAGGAGAAGACUGAUCACAAGGACAGGAUUCGUCGCAAGGGGAAGACUCUACAGAAGGAGAAGACUCGACACGAGAAGACUCGACAGGAGGACGUCAUCGACACAAGGAGAAGACUAAUCGCAAAGAGAAGACUGAUCACAAGUACAGGACUCGAGUCAGGGAGAGGACUCCACAGGUAGGUAAUCAACAAAAGGAGAAGACUCGUGGCAAGGAGAAGACUCUACACAAGCAGUGGACUCAAAACGAGAGGACUCUACACAAGGACAGGACUCGUCACAAGGAGAAGACUCGUCGCAAGGACAGGACUCUACACAAGUAGAGGACUCGACACGAGAGGAGUCUACACAAGGAGAGGACGCGACAGGUAGGUCAUCGACACAAGGAGAAGACUCUACACAAGCAGUGGACUCAACACGAGAGGACUCGACACAAGGAGGGGACUCGACAGGUAGGUAAUCAACACGAGAAGACUCGUCGCAAGGAGAAGACUCAACACAAGGAGAAGACUCAUCUCUUAGAUAUCAUUCUCACACCAAACUGACACCACACCCACUUUUUCCAACUCAUUUAGAAGCCAACUAUCACAUAUUUCAAACCAGGCCCAUAAUACACAGCGCCUUCUGUUUAAACCAUAACAAAAACAUAAAACACGUAGCUACAUUCUAGCUGCGGGUCCAGUUCUGACGUGUAGGCCUAUGUGAGGCGACCCCAAAUCCCGAGUUUCGGCUCGAUAGGUCAUUUGGAGGCCGAGCAGCGAGGGCGUUGCUACGGGGUCCUUGAAUGAGAUAUCGGACAGAAACGUUGGGGUCAGUCUCUAUGGGCCAAGGCGGUUUCAAUGCACCUAGUUUUGCGACUCUGGGACUUUUCUAAAUGUCGUACUUUUCAUGUCAAAAUGAUUUUAAGUCAUUGCAAAUGUACGAGGCUGUUUCUCGGUCUGAGGCACUUCCGGUUGGCACAAGAAGCUUCAAGUAAACACAUAUCCUCAUUGGGGUGGGCUUUUUACAGAAUCCUAGGUUUAAAGUCUUUACGUUAAGAAUUGACUGAUUUACACAGGGUUGAAUGCAGUGUUUAUCAAAAACUUCAGGUUGUGUAUAUCAAAACACCUUUAGGGUGAAUUUAAUCAACACAGGUAGAGCUCAUAGUGGCCUGAUGAAUUGGCAUCGAAGACAGGUUCAUAAGACAUUCAUAACCCACAUAGACUUCAGGUUGAAUUUAGGGGAGCAGGUAAUGUAUUCCUAUGGGGAGAGAAGUCAUUGCAAACUGUUUGAUGUAAACACCUUCUUUUAACUGUUAAGGGUUAAUGCCACACGGUCAAGGUUAGGCUUGCACAGAUCAGGAGGACCUUAGGAACACCCCUGCGGUUGACUUUUCCUUCUCACCCUAACGGCUACGCCGCUGUCCCCCAGGAGCACCUGAAAUUUAGGGCCAGGCUUCAUUUUGGGCCUACUUUUUUUCACGGUUGCUGCUCUCAGACCGAGUGAGCUACGGUCAAGUGGGGCAUCUCGUUGAACUCGGCACGGCCUAGAGACUAGGUUGAUGCCAUUUGUUUCCCUGUCUGUGAUGAGUUCAGCCUGUCUAAGUUUCUAGUACAACUUGUGCUUCCAGAACAGCAGGUAUACAGACUACAGCAGGUCUUCAUUGUUUAUUAAUCUACUUCACUUGCGUAUGUUUCCCAUGCCAAUUUUUAACCACCGUGAAGGACAGUAAACACAGUGAAGGUUCAACACUUACAAAUUAAGUGACGCAGACCAAAUCCAAAACCUUAAAAAAAAGCACGACACAAAGAAUUACUCAAAUAAUUAUUUUAUUAAACAUCACAAAUACAAACCGUGACAUUAUAAAGAAUCACACCGAAAUAGAAAAUAGAACAGACCGUUAAGAGUAAAUUACACACUAUUCACACGUUCGAGAUCUGAACAAGCACACCGAAAUAGAAAACCACACCAAACAAAAUCAAAACAGUGUAAAUGUGAGACAGUCUUUAACAGUCUGCGGGGAAGAGGAAGUCUCAUUGUUGGUCGGCUCCCCUUCCUUCUAGCUGCAUCGGGGCUCCCCUCUUUCCUUGUGCGCCUUCUCCUGCAGCUUUCUCCUCCUUGAGGCAAUGGCUUUUUUUGAGUCUGACUGUUUGAAUUCAGCUGAUGCAUAGCUUGCAAUGUUUUUUUUAAAAUUUUUCUUAUUUUCAAUGACGACCUAGGAACACUGGGUUUAACUGCCUGUUCAGGGGCAGAACAGCAGAUUUGUACCUUGUCAGCUCGGGGGUUUUGAACUUGAUCCAGAGGCCGCGUCCUUGUAUUGGUUUUCGGGGAUGUGGAUGACGACAGUCGUGGUUGGAUGUUCUCGUGUGAAAGACUCUCGUCCGCGGAGCUACAACCGAGAUAGUAGAGCUGCGCAUCGAUUUGACUGGUGUCGUAACGCAGCCGUGUUCCUGCCUCUGACUGCCAUCGUCCUCACUGCUUGAAUAUGCUUUUGGGGCACAGUCGAUAGCGCGCUGGAGGUCGAGGGUUCGAGUCCUGCUCCCUGCCUGUUUCAUUACGCUACAUUUUACUAUCGUUAUAUUUCUGUGCUACAGAAAUUAUCUGACAGUUCCAAACUCAAUCAGAAGCUUUUCUAAAUUUUAUUCAAGUAGUUUAAUCCAUUUCAUUCAAGUAGUAUAAUUGUCAUUUGCAAGUACCUAUUAAAAGUAAUAUAUUGGAACUAUUAUUUGGAGCUCUCUCACAUAUAGUAGGUCUACAUAGCACACAGAGGUAGACAGUAUAACAGUCACACGGAACAAAUAAAACAUUUAUAAAAUCCUCUAUGACGUCCUUUCUUUUCGUUGUGUUCAGCUCCAGGUUGUUUCCGCUGCACAUCGCUGUUAGACACUGCGCUUCUUGUCUGUCUAUAGGCUGUAUCGUCGUAGUUUAUUGACGAGACUUAUGACGUUUUUAGUCUCACAAUGGAUUCUGAGGACCCCCCUUUUAUUAUAGUGCUGUGAUAAUACAGACAUACAGCCUCCUUAAUAUCUAAACAUAUUAUUUGAAUGACUGAAGACGGAGAGUUCUGCGUGAAAGAUGUAUUUUAUUAUUGUCAGUGACAUGGCACACAACCAUUGGUUGAUGCAAUGUGACGUGUCAAUUGUAGGCGGCCUCGUAGGAUUUUCAAUGGGCUGGGCUGCAGCGGAGCUCAGCAUUUCUUCCGAGUCUCUCUCCCCGCUCAGCUAUGCUCGUGUGUAAGGGGUGAAGUUCACAAUGGGAGCCGAGACUAUCGCACGGUGCCAGUAGAGAGACGUCGAUGAAGUGUGUGUCAGUCAUGCUGGUGGCUGGCAGCGACGACAGAGCAGAGCGUGACAUGCCAGUGUUUUUUCCCGAGGGGAUGUGUUUUCUUGGUCUUGGAUCCACGGAGUGAUGGCAGAAUGUUCCAUUUAUUCUAUGGAUCUUUCCUUCCCGUCUUAUUUCUGACACCAUGGCAUGAUCCAGAGCAGGGCGGUGUAACUGGUUCAUUCAAAAUCACGGUUAUAGUGAUCGGAAGAGACACGGAGGAUUUUGCAACAAGUGCAAGUAGGAAAACAGUCAUUACACCUUUCCCCUUCAUAAUCAACGCAGUUCUCUCUGGCAGUGUUCAAGCCUCAGCAGCAGUCAAUCGGAGUGUUUCUGGCUGAUUUGUUCUUCUGAUGAUGAUGGUUGGCAGCUCCCUUCUGGUUUCUUCGGACAGCUCAGUGUCAGUGAAUAGAGAGACAGUGCUGGUUUUAUAGUGACUUGUAUUUCCAUUCACUUACAAAAGGGAGACAUACAUUUCGCCUGUAGAUUGGUAGUAUGCUUCGUCCGGUAAGGUUAAUUUACUCUACCAUUUUCUAUCCAAUACAGCUUGGUUUUCUAGUGACUGACCUGACUUGCCAUUUCGGAUCCUAAUUCAUUCGGAUAGCCUUCCUAAUAAGUGUUAUUAUAGAUAUUGAGAGAUGAUUGUAGCCUACUAGAGCACUGUCGAGUGGGAAGUUUGUCAGACCGAGACACUGAGAAUGUAGAGCACAGCCAUUCAUGCUGGUGGCUGGCAGCGACGACAGAGCAGAGCGUGACAUGCCAGUGUUUUUUCCUGGGGGGAUGUGUUUUCUUGGUCUUGGAUCCACGGAGUGAUGGCAGAAUGUUCCAUUUAUUCUAUAGAUCUUUCCUUCCCGUCUUAUUUCUGCCACCAUGGCAUGAUCCAGAGCAGGGCGGUGUAACUGGGUGAUUCAAAAUCACGGUUAUAGUGAUAGGAAGAGACACGGAGGAUUUUGCAACAAGUGCAAGUAGGAAAACAGUCAUUACACCUUUCCCCUUCAUAAUCAACGCAGUUCUCUCUGGCAGUGUUCAAGCCUCAGCAGCAGUCAAUCGGAGUGUUUCUGGCUGAUUUGUUCUUCUGAUGAUGAUGGUUGGCAGCUCCCUUCUGGUUUCUUCGGACAGCUCAGUGUCAGUGAAUAGAGACACAGUGCUGGUUUUAUAGUGACUUGUAUUUCCAUUCACUUACAAAAGGGAGACACAUUUCUCCAGUAGAUUAGUAGUAUGCUUCGUCCGGGUAGGUCAACUUACUGUCUACUAUUUUCUAUCCAGUACAGCUUGGUUUUACAGUGACUGACUUGACUUAACAUUGGUCGGACAAUUCAGCCGUGGUUGGAUGUUCUCAUGUGAAAGACUCUCGUCCGCGGAGCUACAACCGAGAUAGUAGAGCUGCGCAUCGAUUUGACUGGUGUCGUAACGCAGCCGUGUUCCUUCCUCUGACUGCCAUCGUCCUCACAGAGCCCAGCCUAACUUCUCCGUGCCGGCAACACUACAGCAUCUCCUCGGAGUGAAGCCGCUUUUUGAGCGUCAAACCAGCAGACUAAUUCAACUAGCAUAUAACCAUCACCCUGAUUCCUCUGCCCCCUUUUGUUAAAUAUCAUAAUAUAAUCGGUCGUACACAAUAUCAUCAUAUCGUGUAACGAGCCUGGGUUUAUAAACGUGGAUAGCGACUUUCUGCUUGAGCUUUUUUUACGUCACAUUUUACUAGCGUUAUAUUUCUGUGGUACAGAAAUUAUCUGACAGUUCCAAACUCAAUCAGAAGCUUUUCUAAAUUUUAUUCAAGUAGUUGCAUCCAUUUUAUUCAGGUAGUAUAAUUGCCAUUUGCAAGUACCUAUUAAAAGUAAUAUAUUGGAAUUAUUAUUUGGAGCUCUCUCACAUAUAGUAGGUCUACAUAGCACACAUAGGUAGACAGUAUAACAGUCACACGGAACAAAUAAAACAUUUAUAAAAUCCUCUAUGACGUCCUUUCUUUUCUUCGUGUUCAGCUCCAGGUUGUUUCCGCUGCACAUCGCUGUUAGACACUGCGCUUCUUGUCUGUCUAUAGGUUGUCUCUUCGUUGUUUAUUGACGAGCAUUAUGACGUUUUUAGUCUCACAAUGGAUUCUGAGGACCCCCCUUUUAUUAUAGUGCUGUGAUAAUACAAACAUACAGCCUCCUUAAUAUCUAAACAUAUUAUUUGAAUGACUGAAGACGGAGAGUUCUGUGUGAAAGAUGUAUUUUAUUAUUGUCAGUGACAUGGCACACAACCAUUGGUUGAUGCAAUGUGGCGUGUCAAUUGUAGGCGGCCUCGUAGGAUUUUCAAUGGGCUGGGCUGCAGCGGAGCUCUCAGCAUUUCUUCCGAGUCUCUCUCCCCCCUCAGCUAUGCUGGUGUGUUAGGGGUGAAGUUCUCAAUGGGAGCCGAGACUAUCGCACGGUGGCAGUAGAGAGACACCGAUGAAGUGUGUAUCAGUCUUGCUGGUGGCUGGAAGCGACGGCAGAGCAGAGCGUGACAUGCCAGUGUUUUUUCCUGAGGGGAUGUGUUUUCUUGGUCCUGGAUCCACGGAGUGAUGGCAGAAUGUUCCAUUUAUUCUAUGGAUCUUUCCUUCCCGUCUUAUUUCUGCCACCAUGGCAUGAUCCAGAGCAGGGCGGUGUAACUGGGUGAUUCAAAAUCACGGUUAUAGUGAUCGGAAGAGACACGGAGGAUUUUGCAACAAGUGCAAGUAGGAAAACAGUCAUUACACCUUUCCCCUUCAUAAUCAACGCAGUUCUCUCUGGCAGUGUUCGAGCCUCAGCAGCAGUCAAUCGGAGUGUUUCUAGCUGAUUUGUUCUUCUGAUGAUGACGGUUGGCAGCUCCCUUCUGGUUUCGUUUUACAGCGCAGAGUGUCAGUGAGUAGUGCUGGUUAUAUAGUGACUUGUAUUUCCAUUCACUUACAUCCACGGUUUCAUCCAACCGAGGUCGUUUUAUCCAGCCGGCGCGUUAUAUCCGAACGAGGCCGUUAUAUCCAACCGAGGCUUUAUAUCCAACCGAGGCCGUUUUUUCCAACCGAGGUUGUUUCUCAGUUUUUAUUUUUAUUAUUAUUAUUUUUUCCGAACAUGACUCUAGUAUGCAGUGUGAUAUAAUAUUGAAAUGUGAAAUUAAAGACAUUUUAUUAUUA